GACCAACCCUUAAAGACUGCUGCAUCUUUAGGACAUUCUAGUCCAACAUCGAGGUCACAAACUCCCUUUUCGAUAAGAGCUCUCAAAGAGAAUUAUGCUGUUAUCCCUAUGGUAACUAAUUCCAUUGAUCAAAAUUUCUGGAUCAAUACUUGUAAGUCUUAUUAGUUAUAAAGAAGCUUUAUUUGUUCCAUAGUCGCCCCAACCAAAAUCCAAAGUAGACUAACAUCUAGAAUUAUAUAUUAUUCUCAACUUAUUUUUUUAAAGCUCAAUAGGGUCUUCUUGUCUUUCAAUAAUAUCUAGGUUUCCUCACCCAGAAAUCAAGUUCUAAAAAAUUACAUAGAGACAGCUUUGUUCACGUCAAACCAUUCAUACUAGCCCUCAAUUAUAGGGCAAAUGAUUAUGCUACCUUUGCACGGUCAGAGUACCGCGGCCGUUAAAAUAUGCUCACUGGGCAGGUCCGACUC
This 464-nucleotide ribosomal RNA is filed under the name Paradusta barclayi. RNAcentral's name for it is "Contradusta barclayi partial 16S large subunit ribosomal RNA". Lineage: Eukaryota; Metazoa; Mollusca; Gastropoda; Littorinimorpha; Cypraeidae. The record is from RNAcentral.